CCACGAUCAUUAGCUGAUGUGAGAGCAUGAUCAGCCACAUGGGCACUGAGACACGGGCCCAACUCCUACGGGAGGCAGCAGUAAGGAAUAUUGGUCAAUGGACGAAAGUCUGAACCAGCCAUGCCGCGUGAAGGAUGAAGGUCCUCUGGAUUGUAAACUUCUUUUAUCUGGGGCGAAAACCAUCUUUUCUAAGAUAUUUGACAGUAUCAGAAGAAUAAGCACCGGCUAACUCCGUGCCAGCAGCCGCGGUAAUACGGAGGGUGCAAGCGUUAUCCGGAUUCACUGGGUUUAAAGGGUGCGCAGGCGGAUUUAUAAGUCAGAGGUGAAAUCUGUAGGCUUAACCUACAAACUGCCUUUGAUACUAUAGAUCUUGAAUGUCGCUGAGGUCAGCGGAAUAUAACAUGUAGCGGUGAAAUGCAUAGAUAUGUUAUAGAACACCGAUUGCGAAGGCAGCUGACUAAAGGACGAUUGACGCUGAGGCACGAAAGCGUGGGUAGCGAACAGGAUUAGAUACCCUGGUAGUCCACGCCCUAAACGAUGAUUACUCGACAUUUGCGAUACGAUAGUAAGUGUCUGAGCGAAAGCAUUAAGUAAUCCACCUGGGAAGUACGACCGCAAGGUUGAAACUCAAAGGAAUUGGCGGGGGUCCGCACAAGCGGUGGAGUAUGUGGUUUAAUUCGAUGAUACGCGAGGAACCUUACCCGGGCUAGAAUGUGAG
Molecule: ribosomal RNA, 718 nt
Filed under: uncultured bacterium
Lineage: Bacteria
Description: bacterial SSU rRNA
Rfam family: Bacterial small subunit ribosomal RNA
Source: RNAcentral